Molecule: ribosomal RNA, 2592 nt
Filed under: Triticum aestivum (bread wheat)
Lineage: Eukaryota; Viridiplantae; Streptophyta; Magnoliopsida; Poales; Poaceae
Description: partial small subunit ribosomal RNA
Source: RNAcentral
AUGGGAGCGGAUCCGGACGCCUCCUGCCCCUCGCCGGCGGCGGCGUCUCCGUCACGGCAGCCACGACAAGGCGAGGAAGAGCUCCGCGCCGUGGAGCCCGUGGACCACCGGAGCCCGCACCGCCACGCGGAUUCGAGCCCUGCGCCGCCGCCGCCGCCGCCCGCGUCCGCCGCGCCGGUGCCGCAGCACCCCGAAGUGUCAGGCGAGGACGCGGUGCUGGCCAGCGAGGAGGCGGUGGAGGAACAGCCCGCCCUUGAGGAGGGGGUGGUGGAGGCGGAGGCCGCUGUUGCAGGAGGAGAAGGCGAGGCUCUCCGCAGCUUCUUGGAGGAAUUCGGGGAUCAAGCAGAUGACUGCAUUAUCCCAUCUCCGCGCCUGAAGGGGAUCGCAACUCCUGACUGCCCUGCUGCCCUCCAAUUCCUAGGGGCGAGGUACAAUAGCCUGAUGGAGAAGCACAACAGCCUGAUGGAGAAGUACGAGCAGCAGGUGGCUAAGUGUGCCGAGGAGUGUGCACCAAGGUUUGAUGGCUUGAAGAACAAGUACACGGUGGAGUGUGCAGAGCGGCGUCGUUUGUACAAUGAGCUCAUCGAGCUGAGGGGAAACAUCAGGGUAUUCUGCCGAUGCCGCCCUCUAAGUUCCGAUGAGAUCUCCCGUGGCUGCUCAUCAGUGGUUGAGGUUGAUCCGUCCCAGGAGAUGGACCUUCAGUUUAUUCCCACGGAAAAAGAGAGGAAGACCUUUAAAUUUGACCAUGUUUUUGGACCGGCUGAUGAUCAAGAGGCUGUAUUUGCUGAGAGCCUGCCAGUGGUGAGGUCAGUGAUGGAUGGUUUCAAUGUAUGCAUCUUUGCAUAUGGGCAAACCGGAACAGGGAAAACCUUCACUAUGGAAGGUGUUCCAGAGAAUAGGGGUGUUAAUUACAGGGCUCUUGAAGAACUGUUCAGGAUCUCGGAGGAGAGAAGCUCAUCUAUCUCAUACUCAUUUGGUGUGAGUAUCUUGGAAGUCUAUAAUGAAAAAAUCAGGGACCUUCUUGAUGACAACUCUGAACAAACAUCAAAAAGGUUGGACAUAAAGCAAAGUGCUGAUGGGGCACAAGAGGUGCCUGGCUUGGUUGAAGCUCCAAUUUCUACAAUAGAUGGUGUGUGGGAGAAACUGAAAGCUGGCGCUAGAAAUAGAUCUGUUGGAUCAACCAGUGUCAAUGAACUGAGCAGUCGCUCCCAUAGCUUGGUUAGGGUCACCGUUACGAGUGAGCAUUUGGUGACUGGGGAAAGGAGCAGAAGCCACAUGUGGUUGGUUGACCUUGCUGGAAGUGAGCGCUUGGCUAAAACUGAAGUAGAAGGAGAGAGGCUGAAGGAGGCAAAGUUCAUCAACAAGUCACUCUCUGCACUGGGUGAUGUUAUUGCUGCCCUUGCCUCCAAGAAUGCCCACAUCCCAUAUCGGAACUCCAAGCUAACUCAUCUGCUCCAAAGCUCGUUAGGUGGAGAUUGCAAGACACUCAUGUUUGUGCAGAUAAGUCCAAGCUCUACAGAUUCAGGAGAAACUUUAUGCUCGCUAAAUUUUGCUAGUAGAGUUCGAGCUAUUGAACAUGGCCCUGCUCGUAAACAAGUGGAUCCAGCUGAAAACUUCAAGAUCAAGCAGAUGGCCGAAAAGCUCUGCCAUGAGGAAAAGGAAAAUGCGAAGUUGAACGAAAGCUUGCAACUGAUGCAACUCAAGUAUGCUUCUCGUGAGAAUGUCUUCAGAACUCUUCAAGAUAAGAUAAGGGAGACUGAGCAAGCCUGCAGAACUCAUCAGCAGCGGGCUAGAGAGCUGGAGAAUGAAUUAGCUAAUGAGAAGAAGGCUGCAAGGGAUACGGGUAAAUCCGUGAAGCCAUCAUUUGCAGCUCCUGUGAGGCAGAGACCACCACUUGCUCCUAUGAGGCAGAGACCACCAAGCAACAACAUGCCACAACCUUCAGGCCCUUCCAGACUGAGGUUUGCUGGUAAGGGAUCUUCAGUUCAGAACAAAGAGAACAUCCCUACGGCGAACAAAACCGUUGUGGACAAGACUGCUGGCAAAGCACGGCGGGUAUCUUUGGUUCCCAUGAUGCGGCAGAUCCCUCUCCAGCCCAAGAGGCGAUCCUCGAUCGCGAUCCUACCAAGCGAGAGAGAGCGGAUGUCCAUAUUUCCCGAGAAGAAGGCAAUGUCACGACUGUCCCAUGUCCAAAUGUCAAGAACAGCAAGACCACAGGCUUUUAACUCAAUUCCAGAAACACCACAAGCAGCAGUCGAUGCAACUCCAGAUGUCAGAGGAAAGUUUAGAAUGGAGUUUGGCAGCAGCAGCAGGUUCUCAAGCCCUCCAACGCUGUCCAUGCGGAAGUCAAGGAACAAUAUCUCGUCUCCGCAGCAGAGGUUGAGGAUGCAGUCAGGCUCUGGAAAUGCCAGCAAGCUAUGCUUCAGUAUCCAGAAGAGAGUAGCUCUUGGUUCACCUGCUCCAGCAAGAACGACUUCCAUGACGUCUGGUACUGGCAUCUUUGAUCCAGCUCUGCGCGAGCAGAUAAUGGCAGGGAGAUUCGGCAAUGCGCAGAGGGUGUUCAACGGCAAGAGGAGAAUGUCCGUCCUCUAA